Long non-coding RNA from Rhipicephalus microplus (southern cattle tick), 371 nucleotides. The record is from RefSeq and is a predicted model, not a curated record. NCBI's taxonomy places the organism in Eukaryota, Metazoa, Arthropoda, Arachnida, Ixodida, Ixodidae.
AGGUAUAUACAGUCAGCCAAGACUCUCCUUCAGCGCAGUCUUUGAGCGGAAAUUAUGGCGUUUUGCAGAACUAUUGCUCUAGUGAGCGUCAUGGUGAUGCUGGUUUUUAUGACUGAGAGAUCUAACACUUAUUUAUUGAGCGGUAUUGAGCACAAAUGGCAUUUGUGUAACCAAACGUGCCGGGUGAAUGAUGAUGACUCUAAAACGUCUUGCAAACCACCUUGUACUUGCCAAGCCAAAAUGGGUCAGGAUGGUUUUCCGCUAUACGGAGAAGGGCAGUGUGUAAAUUAUUACUAUAGGCUCACUACAUAAUUGUCAAUCACAAAAAAUCAAUUUACAUUUGUGAACGAAAUAAACAUUCUUUAUUAGCA